GUGGUGGGGCGACUAAAUGUGUCCGGGCUGGUGGGGCGUCGACUAAAUGUGUCCGGGCUGGUGGGGCGUCGACUAAAUGUGUCCGGGCUGGUGGGGCGUCGACUAAAUGGGUCGAGGCCGGUGGGGCGUCGACUAAAUGUGUCCAAGAUCAUCAUAAAAUAUGAAUGAAAUGCAUCAGUGAGUCUUAUUUUUCUUUAACUUUCUGAAGAGGAAACGUCAGUGUCUGUGUGUCCGCGACUGUCCACCACUUUGUUAAGCCGUUAGCGAUGAUGCUAAUAUAACGACGACAGUCUUCUGGUAGAUGGAAAGGUUUUCCCCAAAAACAUUCUCAGUUAAACACAGGCUUCUCUGUGGUUAAUAUUUACUUGGCAGAAUGGUAUCGUGAUUAUUUGCAUAAAUCCACUGGCCAUUUGUUUAGCAAACUCUGCAAUCACAUGAGUGCUACAGAAACAUCACUCACCAGACAGUGACGCUCACUGGUGCACAGAUGAAUUAAAGGGUAACUACACCCAAAAUGUCAUUUCUGGUCUCCUGUUUAAACACUGUUGUGCACUUAGAACAUCCAAUGUUUUUAUUUGAUAUAAAUAUAAAUAUAUAAAUGAAAUUGGGCAGGGGGAACAUUUUCAAUUGAUUUUAUAGGGCCCUAGCAAUGUCUGUUUGCGUGUAAAUUUGCGUGUCAAUUUGAUUACUUUUCUUCCCUUAAUACUGGGCUUCACAAUGUGCUGAUCCUGUAAACGAAUAAGAAAACCAUAAAAUAUUUUUACCAAAGGUACAGUACUUGAAAAGAUGCUGAUGAUAUCAAUCAAUACAGGUACAGUACUUAUCUGAUAUUUCAAUGAGGACUAAAGAAUCAUCACUAUUGUCCACAAUUCAAUGGCAGCCAUUUUGUUAAUGUGGAUAUUUUAGGUUUCUAAUGGUACACCUAUUUGAAGUGGAUCUCAAGAUUUUACUGUCGGUUGUCUUGUUUUUAGGCUGUAGUUUGAAAUAGACAGCCAGACAAUUUUGACUUGGUACCAAAUAUCUUGUAGGAAUUGAAGGUCGAUGGGUGUUUCACUGAAAUGAUGUAGUCAAGAAAAGAAUUGUGCUGUUUGUCCUAUUUUUUUAAAUGGGUUGAUGGUCACUCAAAUUUAAUGUUGCUGUUGUAAAUCCCAGUAGUGAUUUGAAUGUAUACCCCAACAUCUGAUUGUGUUACUGGUAACUGAUAUAUAUUAUUUUGUAUUGGAUUGGUUAGUUUGCUGAGUAGUGACUCCAUGCUUGCAUUAAAUGGGAUAACUCCUUUGAAUGUACAUGUUCGAUUUAAGUAACUUCUCUGCAUUCCCCCCCCAUUUUUAAAUGGAAAUAGCAUUUUGUUAAAUUAUUCAUAUAAACACAAGACUUUUAAAUAAUACAACUGACAAAAUCAAUCUAAAUUUUAAAGUUUUGGUCAUUACUUUUAAAUGACAAGGAAACCAAGUGAAGAGAGGUUACUUUAUUAUCCUGUACUCCUAUUUGUCUCACUUCAUGGUGAAGGAAAUGAUUUGAUCUAUGCUUACUACCUGUCAAUCUAUGUUCACAGAUCUCAACAUUUGUUUCAUUUAGCGUUGGGAUCAUAUGUGCCCACUUACAGGGAAGAAAUGACUAGCUAUUUUUCCAAUUUGUCUAUAGGUGUCAGUGAUGUUUUACAGGCAUGGAGAAAGCAGCCCUGAUUUCCUGCUAACAUAUUUCUGCGUCUGUUUUAACUGUGUCUCUCUCUCUCUCGCUGGUGUGUUCAUCCUUCACAACUACACAUCAUGUGGUUCCUAAAACACUCAUUGGUGUCCACACCAUCUCAAGAAGGUUCAUUUUGACGACUGUUUCAACCACCUUAAACUCGUUCAAUGUCUCCUGCAAAAAUAGGCUCUGCAGGAAGUUAGUACCAAAAACAGCAACUGGUCACAUUCUUUCAUCCAUGAGUUAUAAUUAUAAUUGUUAGUGUUUUGAGAACAUGUCUUGGUGAUGCUGUGGACCCUUUGAGAUGCUCAAAGGAUCUGAAAUGAUUGUGCGUAGGGUGAUGGGUCAUCUGUUCGAUGAAAUGUUGGUCGUAUUAACUUUUUAAAAAAUGUGAUAUUGCCAACUAUGCACCAUGUAAAUUCACUAAUUGAGCAAAACCUGGCUUCAAUUUGAUUUAAAAAUGAUAUUGAUAAACAAUGAAACUAAUAAUUACUACUAGGCUAUUAACUAUAGUUUCUAUUUUAUUUUUGUUGUGUAAAUUGUCAUUGACAACCAAAACAUACAGAAUAUUCCUCUUACCUGGUGUAUCAGUUUGAAACUGUCUGGGGUUGAUCCAUGAACUGAAAUAUUAAUGAAUGGUUAUGUGGUUUGCAAUUCCAAUGACUUGUCAGUGUAAUGUUGAUCCUGUGCAUGCCAGGCUCUGGCUGUGAGAGUUGUUUCAGACUACUCAUAUAUGUGUGUAGGGAUACGAGUGUGUUUUUCUAUAUUUAUCCUGGUGUAAUAAUGCCAUUCCUCUAUGGAGAUCUGACCAUGUUAGUCCUCUGCUUCUCCCAGUGCUCCGGGCACAGUUUUACCCCCCCCCCCAAAUGUUAUCUAAUUGGAUUUCACCUAUCGGAUAGGUUUAAAUGCAUAGCUGUAGAAUGACUAGAACGAGGGUCUGCAUUCAAGUCAAUGAAUCGUCUGUUCUAUUUAUUAUUUCUAUGCGUUUUAAAUCCUAUCCUAUAGGUAAAAUCUGCGUUAAUGUUUGGGGAGAACUAUACCCUCGUCACCUCUCAGACUAGGGGACCGAUCCCCCAAACUGGCCGCUAACACCUUUUUGGUUUUAUGGACUUGUUGAAAAUCUGAGAGGAUUUGAUAGGUGGAAUUCUCACAUGUACUUCCACCUAUCAGAGGACAAGGUAGACUUAAUACCAUAUUGUGUCCAUCUGUCAGAUCCUCUAAAGAUAUUGAGAAGUACGUACGGUCUAGGGGUUGGGAUUGAGCGUUCUGUAGAUGCCAUCUUCUGCCCAUGCACUUUCAGAUUAGAUUAUAAGAUGUUCUGUGAGCACCCUUAAACAGGUUUAUCCAAUCCACACAAAUUGAUUGUAAACCUUCUCUGAAAUGAGUUGAGUACUUAGUGCAUGACACAUUUGAAUACAUUCUAAAUUCAGAUCUCAACAGUAUAGCAGGGUCAGUCAUUGUGGGCACUACAUUGUUCUUACUCACUGUAAUGUGGAAUCACUCUCUUGACAAGUUGACUACCAUUAGAAAGAACAGUACCUGCAUGUAUUUGUUUCGUGUCCUCUGUGUGUGUGUGUGCUGUACAAUUAGAGGGGAUAUGACACAAACAACAAACUGUAUAUUGUUGGGCUGCCCCAAACCAAACUCCACCCUUCGUUUUCACACAUUUCAGCCUACGGAAGAGGACAGGGACGAGGACGCCUCUUCACAACCAGCAGGCCCUACAUCAGGAUCGCCUUGUCAACUAGUCCCCCCCCCCUCUCUGUCUGUGUCUCCAUGGUUACCAGGGGACUGACUACCUGGGAAUCGCUCACAGCUGUGUAAGGCUAUAAGUAGUGUUCUUUAAAAUCAUUCUCAUGGUAUAAAAAAAAACUACUCAACAGCUAUUUUUAUUUUACUGAAAUUUUAUUUGAUGUGAACGAAAAAAUGAUUACCUACCUGUGUUGACAGGCUUCUUUCAAGCUUUGCGAAAAUAACAAAUGACUACAUUUGCCUGCUCUAUUCCAAAACGGACAACUUUUGACUGCUAUAAUGUGUACAUUUUGUCAGGUUAAAGCUGAUUUUUACAGGGAGGUUUUUUGUUUUUUCGUCUUCAUUUCCUCUCGUGCCCCCCCUACUUUUCUCGUUAGGAUAAUGUUUGUAAAUGUCUCUGCUUUGAAUAUUAAAAUAGAUUCUGUGUUGUAAUAAACUUGUUUACUGGGGUUUUGACACUUAAUAAUAAUUGACAUGUGUACAUUUUUGCCUUGCAUACAUUUUUCAUGUUGAAUUUUACGAAAUAGAAAUAGUUAUUUUAAAUUUACUCUCACUUAAGUUGCAAAGUUGUGCUGUUAUUGACCAAAUGAAGCACAGUUGACCAAAAAAUUGUAUUUGUCCCGAUGCCCAGAAUUAGUGAAAUCUGACUGAAUUUAGCGUAACUACUUAUGCAUUGAAUGAUCAUGUGACAGAUAUUUUAAUCUUUGACUUAUCAGUUUGUUCUAAAAGUUCUACGUAAAAUGUAGCUACUUGUUGACAAACGUUUGUUUUUAGACUCCGUAUAGUUCUGUAUGCCUUUUGAGUUCCAAAAGUGAAAAUCCAUGUCUUUGCUAAGUGAUUUUAGAGGUAUUCAGGACUUGAUUAUACUUGGGAAAAACUUUAUUUUUUUAUUUUAUUUUUCUUGAUUUUCAUUUUUUUUUUUUUUUUUAAAUGUUACCAGGAAGUACAUUCCAAGGGUUCAUUACUCUAAUAUUAUUGAAACAAGUAGAACAAAAUUAUUGACUUAUGGAAUUAUUUUAGUGAUAGAUAAACCUUCACAGAUCUGGACAAUACUACUACUGUGAACCGAAUUGGUCUCUUAUCUGCAAACUUGUGCUCUGAUUGGCUGGCUGAUGUACUGCACUGAUUUCUUAAUGAGUUGCUUAUCCCCUGGUUUAGGCCAGUGAGGGUUGUAGCCUGGUCCCAGAUCUGUAUAUACUUUGGCAGAGUCUUGACUUGUUGUCUUGUCUACAUUGAAUAGCAAUAACAAUGCUAGACUAGUUGGCUAAAACGCAUACAGACCUGAGUGAAAUACUACAAAGCAGGACCAAUGUGUUAGCCAGCUAAUUUGCUUAAAUAUUCUGAAAUAAUUUAGAAUUUUUGGGGGGGAAAAGAAGCUUGACUCAAUAAGCAAAAACACAUAUCUAAGUUUGGCUUUCUUAAUGAGCCAGAAAAUCAAAUGUUUAUCAAAGUUAGCUGGCUAAUGCAUUGAUCCUGUUUUGUAGGAUCCCCUUCUGGGACCAGGCCAUGGGGCUGGGUGUAGUAAAUGGUUGAUUACAGUAGUAAUGAGGGUCUGGGACAAGGCUGAGAGGCUGGGUUAAAUGAAUGGGGAUUACAGUAGUGAGGGUCUGGGACAAGGCUGAGGGGCUGGGUGUUGUAAAUGGAUGGGGAUUACAGUAGUGGGUGCUGGGACAAGACUGAGGGGCUGGGUGUUGUAAAUGGAUGGGGAAUUACAGUAGUGGGGGUCUGGGACAAGGCUGAGGGGCUGGGUGUUGUAAAUGGAUGGGGAAUUACAGUAACGAGUAUUCAAGUGAGGUGUCCAUUUUGUAAAGCAUGAGAGCACAAUGCUUCCCUGGCUUCUCAUGAUCUGUCCACUGACUGGUCUGCCAGAUUAAAAUAACUGAUAUUGAUGCCUGUUUUAAGGCGGUAAAACCUACCUCUCUACUCCCAUGUAUUUUCUAAAUGGCCCUGAUAGACAUUAGUGGUGCUCUCCUGCUUACAUUGUGUUGACACUCUAAAGAUAGAUAUUUAGGUGGUUAUUGUGGCUAGAAUCAUUCACUGAAACAAAUGCUUCAGUCAACUAAACAUAUUUUUAUUUCAAUUUUAUUGGUUAGACAUUACAUCCAACUAUUGGCACAUAAAUAUCUCCCAAGUUUUUAUCAAUAUUGCCCACUAGCUACAAAGAGCAUUUUGAUUUGAGGACUUAACUAUGUGUUUGAAAUGGAAUGUUAUUGAAUGGAACCUUUAGUAAAGUUCUCCUUCAGGUAAAGUUCGCAUGACAGACACUUCGUUUUUUUUUAUACGUGGAACUUUUGUAUUGCAUUUUAUUGUAUAAAUGCACUGAGAUAUUGAAUAUGGUGUAGAGCAUUAUGAA
Molecule: long non-coding RNA, 5794 nt
Organism: Oncorhynchus tshawytscha (Chinook salmon)
Lineage: Eukaryota; Metazoa; Chordata; Actinopteri; Salmoniformes; Salmonidae
Source: Ensembl